Chlorocebus sabaeus (green monkey) is the source of this 11521-nucleotide non-coding RNA. The record is from RefSeq and is a predicted model, not a curated record. Lineage: Eukaryota; Metazoa; Chordata; Mammalia; Primates; Cercopithecidae.
CUGGCCGCGGUGGGCGGUGGCUGCUGGGGCCGCUGGGGCGCGCGGCCCAGCUCAGUCGGGCCCUUCCGCGGGGCUGGGCUGGGCUAGGGUGCUCAGGAACCCAGUUCCCAUGCCGGUCCUUGACCACAGCCCUCACAAGCCUCAUGGCCCUUGGAGUAAGCGUGCGUGACAUGAUGUCCCCAGACCUGUAUGGCCGUGUGAGCCGUGAGCCGAGGGCUGUAGGCUGGACCCUUGGGUUGGACAGAAGCCAUCUGCCACAGACAGGCAGUGCAUGCGGGACCUGUGGCGGGCUUGAGGCGCCUGUGUGGGCUCAUCCUCUGGGAAUGCCAGUGUGUGUCUGCUGAGUUGUGUAGGCGUGGCUUUUUCCGCGUGAUACACGGACACUGCGAGGAUGUGUCUAUAUGGCGUGUGUGUCUUCUGCAUAUGGUGUUUGUCUGGAGUGGGGGUUACACAUGUGCGCUAGUGAUCUGUGUGUGUGUGUCUGUGUGUGUUGUGUGACCAAUUUUCCUGACUCUGAAUUUGCGUCUGCCACUUUAAGUUUUGAGAUUUUUGCUUUGUACUUGGCUUUUCUCUAUUUAGUCCUUUUUCUUCUCUCUUGUGUGAUCCUGUGGGUCAUUUGGGGCCACCUCUCCCCAUUAGUGAGGCCCCAGGGCCCCAGCAGACCUCCAGGGCCCGGCCUGGCUGGCCUCAGCGUCCAGCCAGCUGUGGCCACACGCAGGCUGACAGUGCUGACUCAUGCCUGGCCAGAGCUGAGUGUGACCAGCGCGUCCAGGCUGGGUGAGCCCCCACUGUGGGGAGGGCAAGGGCCCAGGUCAGCCCAGACCUUCUGGGGACUUGUGACCGCAUGGCGUUAGAGGCAGGGGCAGGAGUAAGUCAUUUCUUCUGGCUUCCCUGGCAGCCGCACAGCCUCACAGGGGUCCACCCCAGGGACAGUGCUGACGGCUGGGCCUUCGGAAAGGCCCCGACAUUCUCCAGCUUCCAUGGUGUUCCUGCAAUCCAAGUGCUGCUGACCUCUCUACAGGGCUGGAAGAAAGCCGUGCUUCUGACUCCAGGAAGUGCUACGGUGUUGCUGGGCCGGCUUCUGAGCUGUCUGUGGCGUGAGGCUGGGCUAAGUGUUUGGUCACCUGGGAUGGGAAGCCACUGGCUUGAGGUGACACAGACAAAGGGGAGCCAGGAGAACCAGUCCUGAUCCACUGUGGAGCACCCCGGACCCUGCUCCCUGGCAGCAGGCUCAGCCAUAAUGCAUUGCCAGUCUAGCCCUGCGGUUUCUUUUGCUGGGAUAAAUUCAGUGGAAGGAGCUGUGUAAAGGCACCACAGGCCCUGCCCCACAGAGAGUCCUUGUCACUUACAUGCUCCAAGAGGUCUCAGAACUAGGGGACUUCCUCCCCUACCUCCUCCUUGUCUGGAGCUGGCAUUAGGCCCCACAGCUUCCAGACCCAGCAAGGGCAUUUACUGCCAGAGAUGGCUGGGCAGACCCUCAGUAGGUAUUCCACACAAGUGCUCAUGGCUUAAACCCAACUCCUGAUUUCUCUCUGAGCCAGUCUCUGUGAAUGUCCACACCAUCGUCCUGCGUCACUCCUGGCCUCCUGCUAACAACCAAAUCUAUUGACGCUCUAGAUCCUCAGCGUCUCCACAUCACACGACUUCCGUUGUCACCAUUCCUGUCUGCAUCCUUGUCUUCGGUCCACCAGAUGACCGGCGCGCCUCCUAAUUGGGCUUCCUGCACUCCUGCCUGUGCUCAGAGUUCCCUUCUCCACUUGCCUGCUGGAGGAGAUUUACAAACAAAAUCAGAUCAUGGCACUCCCCUGGGGCCCUGCAGGUAGAGCUUCUGCGACCUGGCCCUGGCCAGCUUUGGCCUCCCAUCCUCCCUAUUCCUUCCAGACCCCACUGUGCCUUGGUGUCCCUGCCCUCCUUUCUCCUCCCUGACUUCACCUGCCAGUUCAUAUCUCCCGGCCUUUGCAGGGUGUUUCUGCUGCAGGAAUUCUCUGCCCCUGGGUCUCUGUGUGGUGAGCUCCCUUUCACCACACUCAGUCAAAGUCUAAUAUUGUCCCCCCACCACCUCUUGCAUUCACUCUCCAUCCUGUUACCCUGUUUUACUUUUUCAGAGCACUAUGUUGUUUGGUUGUCCACCCUACUACCCCAACUAGAAUGUAAGCUCCAAGAUGUGAGGGCAUUUCGUGUCCCAUCCAUUCUGCAUCCCAGAGUCCAGGCUGGAGCUGAGAAGGUGCUCAAGGAAUGUUUGUUGCAUGAGCCAAUUUCACAGUGCUCCGGGCUCCCAGGUGGAAAGGUCCUUGAUCUUUUCUUUACCAGGUCUUGGAAACUCCCCUGCACCCCAGAAACUUCCUGGUCAGUCCCUGGUCAGUGUAUACUGUGCUUCCUGUGACAUGACAUCAACUUCUCAGUGACUUCCACUGGUUUUGGCACAGGUCACAGAGCCUGACACCUCUGCAGGGAGUUCUACCAGGUAUUCGAAGAGUGCGUCUUAAUGCAAAAAUAAUGAGAGAUGCAGGGUCACGAGUCACAGGUUCAAGUUCUGACUAUUUCUCUUCUCCAUGGUCAGCUGUAAGUCGUCGAGGUCUCUGGCCCUCAGCUUCCCCUCUGGAAAUGCUGGGAACCAUACCCCUCAGAGCUUCAAUAGGGUGGGAGGAAAUGCUGGCCAGUGUGGUCAGCCAGGGGUCUGGUACAGGCCUAUGCUUAACAAGUGUUGUUUGAGUUUGGGGAAAAAGUCUGCACGAUUCUUCAUUAUCCCAGAACAUUGAGGUCCUCGUGCCCUGCCCAGGUAUCACUGCUCCCUCUGCCUGGGGCAUCUUCCAAAUUAGAAAAACAGAGAGGAAAAGAGCAGCCCUGCUUAGGUGGGGCUGGGCGGUGGAAGGGAGGUGGGGUGCGGGUGGUGUGCUGUACUCUCCCACGGUGAUUUAUAGCGUUUUGUCUUUUGGAAAACAUUGCAGUGCAAGGUUGCCCAAGGUCAGUGCCUCUGUUCUGCGAUCUCUUUAUGAAAAAGGAGAAGAGAAAGUGGGCACUGCUUCCAAUUUUUUAAGGAGUUGGCCAAGAGCCAGCACCAGGCAUCAGAGGAAGGCAGCUGACUGCACUCGGCCACAUCCCAAAAGUGCCUGGAAGGGGAGGGAGGAAGCAGGCGCUUCAGAAGGCACUACUGUGUGCCAGGCCUCAUGCUAGGAGUGCUGUAACAGGGAGCAGUGAUGGAGUCCUUGAGGUACACCAGACAUUGUUCUAAGCACUUUAUGGAGAUUGACUCAUUUCAUCAAUUUCAUUCUCCCUACCUCUAUGAAUAUGUGGUGUUUUUCCCAUUUUAUAGAUGGAUUCGCUGAGGCAUAGGAAAGCAGAAUAACAUAUCCAGGGGCCCACAGCCAGCAUGGAUGUUAUUUAAUUCCAGUCCUGCAACUACCUGGAGAUGAGGAUCAUUAUUACCACCACUUUAUCCAUGAGAGCUCUAAGGCUUGGAGGGGUUAAAGCAACUUGUCCAAGGUCACUCAGAAAAAGGGCACCACAGAGCUGGGAUUUGAACUCCACUCUGAGUGACUGCAAAGCAGUGCAUCAUCCUGUGCUAUGUAACUUGGCUGGUCUCCUCGCCUUUUCUCAUUUCCCUGAAAUGGAUGGGUUGGGGGCUGGACACUUGGCUGCUGGCAGUCUUCAAAGAUUGCGAGGGAUGGUGGGAGCUAAGCCAGCCCCCAGAGCUGCUGUGGGCCCCCCUGAUUUCCCUGCUAAUGGUGCCUUGGGCUUUAUGUGGACGUUGGUGUUUCCAACACAGACCCAGAGGAAGAAUCUUAAAUCCCUGGUAAACCUCCCUAUUGAGCCACCUUCUUUGUUAUCAGAGGGAUAUCAGGAAAGACUCAGAUAAAGAGGUAAUGUCUGGGCCUCACCACCCCAGAACAGACCCUCACACACCACAGGAUGAAGUCGGAGGGGGAGAAGUUUCUGGGUUGGAGCCAGAGCCUAUGGAGGACCAGGCGCGAGUUGGCCCAGCAUGCUGGCCUGGAUCCAGCCUGCAGCCCCCACUCCCUGUCUUCCUCAGGCACCCUCCUUCUCUGCUCUCCCCACCACCAUCAGAGCCUCCUCCCAGGAAAGGCUGGGAAGUUUUUAGAACCUGGUAGUCCCUGGAAGUUAGGGUCCUGGUCUCUUUGUGAUGAUCUCCAAGGCCUGUCAUCCUACUAUACUGUGGCUGUGUCAGUGUAGGAAGAGCCCAACUUUGAGGAUCCAGAGAUUGGGCUCUCUUCCCCAACAGUUGCAGCUCCAUCUAUGAUUGUCUUAGGAGACAUGGCAACAUCCUAGGUUUCACUUUCCUCAUCUGUACAGUGGGUGUAAUAAUGUGGCCCCGGAGCUGACAGAUGAGGACCAGAUGGGGCGAGGGAUAAGAACGCACUCUGAACAUGGUCAAGUCUUGACUGGCUGCCCACAGUCGCUAAUUUGUUCUACAACCCAGUGGCCGAAAAGUUUACAUCAUAUUGGAAUCACGUGGGGAUCCUAAAGCAUGCUGAUGCCUGGUUCCUCUCCUCAAGUGUUCUGAUUUAAUUGAUUUGGGGAACAACCAGACAUUGGGAGUCCUAGGGGCUCCCAGGUGACUCUAAUGUGUGGUCAAGCUAGGGAACGAUAAGAAGCCCCUUCUAUUCAGUGAUUCCACUGGCUUAUUAGGCAGCAAGGGAGCUCUUAGGUCACCAUCAGGCCCAAAUUUUUCUCUUGGAUGCCUGUUCUGCUCUCUGGAUUUGUCCUAAUGUGUCCUGCUGAGAGUUUAGAAUCCUAAACACCUGCUUUUUAUGGAAUGUGCCUCUGGCAGAUGUCUGGGGAGCGGAAGCGCCCCAUGAUUUUUGCUGACUUCCUUCUCUGUGGAGAGGCUGUGCUGGGGAUUGGGGCUAGUGAGAGACUCAGGCCUGAUCCUUGCCCUUUGCACACUCAUGCAGGGGUCCUUACCUUCUGAGUUCUCUCCUUAGAGGUCAAGGGGAGGAAAGAGGAAGGGAGCAAAGCAUGACUGGGCCCGUGCCUCCUGCUCAGAGCUUUCCCAUGGAUAGGAUGUGAAAGCAGGUGAGAAAGGCCUGUCAUUCCACUCAUGGAUGAGGAAUCUGAGCCUCUGACAGCUUCAAAGACUCAUCCAAGGUCUCACAGAUCAUGAGUAACAAAAUGGGAGUGAACCCUGCUCUGUCUGCUCUCCAAGCGCCUGCUGUGGUGGGGAGGAGAGAGGCGGCAGAUGGCAGGAGGUGUGAUUCCAGAGAGGCAGGCAGGGCUGGAGACUGGGGUCACUGUUUGGGGAACGGACUGGGUCCAGGGUCCCCUUUGUUCUCUCUCUGCUUCUUCCCUCCCCCUGGGUCCCUGGGUUCCCCAAAGCAGGGGACAGCUUUGGGUGUUUGGGGGAAUGAAGGGUUAUGAACAGGUGUUUCGUCUCCUGGGUUUCAGUGCCUGACUGUGAAACGGUCUCUGACCUCACUUUAUUUGCUUAUGGAGUAUUCAGGUGUGUGUCAGUGAUCUGUGAGAGAGGAAACAGCAUCCUCAAGAUCAGCCUCAGACUCAGUGGCUGCAUCUGAAGGGGUCUAGGAGGCCAGGGCCAUGUCAGGACCCAGGACCACCAUGUGAUGAAGGUGGCCAGGUGGAAGGCUCCCGUCGUUGUGGAGGGCUUUGAUGUCAAGUGACAACAAUCUAACUUCAGUGGGGGAGUCAGGAACAGUGUUCUGGGUGCUGCUGCUUGAGUAGAGGGUAGAGUCUCUAUCUCACUCAGUCUUGCUUUCCCCAUCUGUAGAAUAGGAGGUGCUGUACGUAAUUGUCAAGGCAAGUGCAGGGUGGAGCCUUAUAGUGAGGGUACACCAUCUUCUCAUCCAUCCAUCCAUCCAUCCACCCAUCCAUCCAUCCAUCCGCCCUCCCAUCCAUCCAUCCAUUCACCCAUUCACUCUCCCAUCUUUCCAUCCAUCCAUCUGUCCACUCAUACUUCCUUUUAUGCACUCAUGGAUUCUUAGGAGCUCCUUUGGUGAACCAGCUCUGAGCAGAUACUUGCAUUGAGAUGAGUCAGAAUUUUUCCUGCUUCCACGGACUCUCAGACCCAGCACGGAGUCCAGUCCUGUGAAUAAAGAGGCCACUGGGGCAGUUUUCAGAGAGGAGACACUGUGUGAGCUGGUUAGAGGUCAGAGUGAGAGUUUGUCAGGCAGGUGAGCAGGGGAAGCAUCUCAGGCAUAGGGCCUGGCAAAGGCCUAAUGUGCUGUGGGGUACUUAGGGCCUUCUGGCCCUGUGGUGGGGCUGAAAUUUGGCAGUAGCUACAGCUAAAACUGUGACUGGGGGUUUCUGAGCCAGGGUGGAACAUGCUAAGAGACCCUACUUUAGGGAGUGGAGUCUGGUUGACUCUGACAGGACAAGGAGAGGCAGUGGGCAUAAGAGGGCAGCCCGAGGCAGGGGGCAGGGCUGCUGGCAAGGCUGAUAUGCUGGUCUGUCCCAUUAUCCCCAAAAGAAUGUGCCUCCCCUCUCUGUCCAGCUUCUAUCUCUCUUUUUUUGUGGUUCAGGAGGCCUGUUCUUUGCCCAGAUACGGAGCAGGCAAGAGUGCCCAGCCUGGCCCUGUCAUUCCCCAUUCAGCCCCAGUGGAAGAAGUGACGCUGUCAUUUGCAUUUCAAAACCUGUAUCUCCCUGCAUCUUCCCUUAAUAAGAGCCAAUUACACCCCUGCCCCAAACCGCAGGUUGUCUGCCUGUCAUUGGACUUUUAUCCUGUUUGGGAUGGGGAAGAACUGCUCCCUUAAAUGUCACAUUUAGCAUAUGCAAAUGAAGAGAUAAUUGUCCUUAAUGGAAAAUGAACUCACCUGCUUGCUGUGAGCUCCAGACAAAAGCAGGCAUUGAUGAAACGGGCACCAGGAUGGGCCUGGGAUCUGUGCUUCCAUCCCUGCCUUAGCCAGGGGCCCAGCUGGCCUGAUCUGUCUCCACCCACUGAGAAGAUGACAGUCCAGGGAUCUAUGCCAGUUGGAAGGUAACACAUUUAGAGGUUGUGCCUCCAUUUGACAGAUGUGGACACUGAGGCCUAGAGGAUGGGAGGGAUUGGCCCAAGGUCACAGGCUGAGUCAAACUUCUUAGGGGAGCUGAGAAUGGAAGUCUAGAGCAGCCCAUGCUGGAGAAGUGAGGGCGCUCGAGAGUGGAUGAUUUUCCAAUUAGGCAGACGGGAAUCACGAGCCAACCUUGGGAUCUAGCACUUGCUGGGAGCAUAUAUCUUUAGUAGAUAAUGAUUUCCAAUCUGGGUGUUGUGCCUGGUUAUCUGGAAGCUGAGGGAAGAGGGCUGGAGAGGACAGGUGCUUUGGAGACCAUCUCAGCACUUGCCCAUGGAGCAUAAUCCUCCCUACCCCUGGUAAUAUUUCUCUCAAAACCGAGAUUACAAGUGGAAUGCAUUCAGAAGGAGUGAGUCCUCUGUCACUGGCAGUGUGCAAGCGACAUGGGAGGGCCCUCUGAGUGCACAGUUGUCCAAAGAGUGGAGAUUCCUGGGAGGAGAGAAGAUCUCUUUGAGAAUGAGCCUCUUCUCAUUGGCUAGGGCAAAGCCUCUUCUCAUUGGCUAGCCCUUGUGCCCUGAGCUGACGACAGGAUGAGGAAUUUCAGGAGCCCCAGGCCUGGCUGGGAUUUGGAGAUUUGGACCUGCUCUGAGACUCAAAGCCUCUGCCUUGUUCUCUAAUUCCAGAGGCAGAAGUUUGGACAGUUCCUCAUGCCUGAGUCCCCUCCUGGUUCCUGCCUGGCCUUGGGGUCCUGCUCCUACCCCCUGGGGAAGUGGUGGCGCUGUGGAGUUUGAAAACCUGGAUUCGAGUCCUAGCAUGUCCGCUUGAACAUGACUUCUAUCCUCUGGGAGCCUCGGCUCCUUCACCAGGAGAGCGGAUGUCUGUGAUAUCUGCCUCCUCCCAGUUUUGUGGGGAUGCCGCCAGGGCUCAGCAGAUGCCUGGUACUCGGGAGGGACUUGGUGGAGAUUUGCUUUAAGAAGCACUGGCUCUGUCCCCUUCCCUUUGCCUAUGAAGGGGCCUGACGCCUGCUGCAGCCCUCCAGGUGCUCUGUGCUCUGUCCACCUCCCGCUCAACUGCCUCCUGUUGCCUCUUGCUGGGUCUCCCAGAUGGGCAGCUCAGGCCAGCCCCUCAAGCCUGGCUGAACCAGGAAAUGCCAUGACCUUGGAGAGGAGGCACUGGAAACCUCUGACUCUCUUUCCUCAGGUGUGCUGAUGGAUCUCAGACAGGAUAAAGAACUUACUCAAGGGUCACGCUAUGAAGUCGGAGUCAUCUGGCCUGUCUCCAGCUUUGAAGGCCUAAAUGCUUCUGAUGUCACAGUGGGGUGCAUCCCUGUGGGACACAGAGGGCUCAGCUGCUCCAAGAUGAGGCCAUAUCCAUUGGCACCGGGUGGCAUUGGCCAUAGGCGGGGUGAGGAUCAGGAGGUGGGCCUUGGUCUGUGCAGGGUGGGUGGAAACCCAGCUCCCAGCAGAUGUCAGCCCUCACUCCUGCCAUUGCUGUUGGCCCUCUCCUCUCUGUCAUGGCUUCUCCAACAGCCCCGGCCCCUGGGGCUGCGUAGUCCACUCACAUGAGAGAUAGGCACCCCAGGCCUCAAUCUGACCUUGCCCAAGGUCCUCCAGCUUGUUAACCACUUGGUCUUGGAUGACCUCUCUGGUCGCCAGGGUCCUUGUGUGUGAUAUAGGGACGGUGAUGCAUACUCUGUGUGGUUUUGGGGAAUUUAGAUAAGGCAGCUAUGAAGCAUCCAGAGGCUGAAUUCUGGUGGGUGUCCUCAUAGAUCACACAGACUCCACUUCAAACCUCAGCUCUACCAGUAUCCAUCUGUGUUAACUGGGGCAAUUACUAAGCUCUCUGGAACCCAGUUUUCACCACAUAAAGUGGGGCAUCUUUUCUCUCUAAAGCUUGGAUUUUUUCCCUCGGGGAGUUCACAAGAUUGCCCCGGGAUAGAAUCCAGCAGCAACUGCCUCCUUCGCAGGCAUCUUAGACCUUUCCCUCUCGCUCAGCCCAGCCCUCCCUUCCAGCUCACCUUCUUGUUCCUCUGGGCCUCCUCCACACGGGCCGCUCCACACCACGCGUCCUUCCCAGACCCCUCCUUGCUUAGACCCCUGACUAGCCUCUCCUAACGCCAUCCCCCAACUCACGCGCUUGACAGGCACCUGUAUUUUCUUCAAGCUCAUCCUAAAUGCUGUCUGCUCUGCCGAGGGGGUGAGGGAAAGCAUAGUGGAGAUGGUGGCUCUACCUGCCCCACCAUAGGACUUAAUCAUCUAACAGCCCCUCGGACACAACUCGGCUGAAGGUGUCAUGUGUUGUGAUGUGUUUUCCUCCUACAGCAUGAGGUUUGGGCUCUGCUCCUCACUGCCUGCUCCCAGGGCCUGCCACAGUGCUCAGGGAGUGUCUGUGGGAGGGUUUGAAGCUGCUCUGGCUGCCGUUGCGUGUCUGCAGUUAGCAGGGCUGAGCCUUACUCAGUCUACCAGGGGCUACAAGGUGUUACCUCCCUGGGUGUGGUCGUCAUUAGGGCUGGUCAAAUAUCCCAACUGGUUCUUUCUUCUUCUGGUCAGGUGGUGGGAUCACCAUUCCCUGCCCCGUCUGAGGGGUGUGGCAUGUGAUUUUCUCUGGCCAAUGACAGGGCAGCAGAAUCAAAGAGAGUUACUGCUGAGUGGAGGCUCUAGGGGCAGAGUAUUACUUGCCAUGUUUCUUCCCCUGCUUUGAGGAUUAUGGAAGCACGCAGUGGGAUGAAGCAUCUGUCAGCCCACGUGCCACACAGACCCUGCCAACCUAGAUCUGACCUGUACCAUGAAUAAGAAAUUGACAUUUGCUUUGUUAAACCGCUGAGAUUCAAGGGCUGGCUGUUCCUGCAGCAAAACCUAGUCCAUCCUAACUGACCCAAGAGGCCAUGCAGGUGAAUUAAGUAUAAGAAGGAGUGGGUUUCAGGUAAGGCCUGAAUGGGAAUGAGUGGUGGGGAUGGGUGUGUCUCACUGAAGACUGCACAUCCUACCCAAAGACAUUCAAAUGCAUCACUUUUAAAAACACCACACUAGCUCAAUAACACCCAUCUGCCAGUGACUCAGACUGGGCCAAAGACCACAACUGACUCUCCCUUCCGUGGGUCUAGGGAUGGAGGGCGAGGGUGUGGGCAUCAGUCCGAACCCUUCCCACAGUGUGAAGACUUACUCUAGGUGGUGCAUACAGGUGGCUCCCGAGCUCUUCCCCCAGUUUGCAGGUGUGAUGGCAGAGGGACACAUCAGCUCUUCUCUCCAGAUGCCCAGGCCGACAGCCAGGGCUGGCUGACUCUCAAGGACUCCCCCAGGCCCUGGAAGGCAAGCCACUGGCUGAUGAUAAAUUCUGUGUUGGGUCAGAGUGGGAGCCCUGACCUCCCUUGAGACCUUGUGGGGAGCUUCCUCCCAGCUCUGGUCUCCUCGGCCUGUCUUCGAGGCUGCCCGGAAGCUGUCUCCCUGUGAUUAACGAGCAUUUCCCCUCCCUCGGGCCCAUGGUGGGGGACGGAUGGGAUGUGGCUUUGGCUGUUGUGGGUAGUGCUGGGGUUUGGGGAGCCUUGGAGCGUGGGCUGCAGCUGUUUACUUGGCAGGGCCUCACUUGCAGAUGUGAGGCUGCAGGGUGGGUGGGGAAGCUGAGGGGUGGGGUAGAACCCAAUGAGAAGCCGGGACCAUUGCCCCUCCUCAGGAAGAGCCUGUGUACUCCUGAAGCGAGACUCACAUUCAUUGCCCCAUGUUCAGAACCCUGGUUCUCAGAACCUGCCCCUGAUGGUGGCCCGGCUUCCUCCAGCUGUCUCCAAGUAUUGGUCAAGUUUCUUGCCCCAGCCGCUCCUGGAUGCUCAGCCGAAGGCCUCUCUUACUCAAGCCAGUGUGGUUUUGGUUUUAGGGCUGAAGCAGCUUUGGGCUCCGGCCCAGCUCCAAUUAUCUUGGGCAGUAGAAUUUGGGGCUGGGAGAGGUCAGGCAUGGAAGAGUUUUUAGCUAAUGGAAAGAUAGAAUUGUGGGCUCCUCCCUGCAUAGCUUAUCUCAGGGGAUGGGGCAGGCCCUGCUUCUUCCUAGAGUGCAGCCAUGGGUUUCCAGGAUGUGAGCUCAGCAACUCUGGGUGGGGGUCCUUUUCCCACCCCAUCUGACACAUUUUCUGUCCCUUGUCCGGAGGGACCUGCCAGGUCUUUUUCAACCUAGAACAAAAAGUUGUAGAGGAUGCAAGCAGGAGAAGCUUCUCAAGUCACUGGCUGAGUGUGGUGAGAUUAGAGUAGAGAGGGCAUUCAAUACACUCUGCCAGUGCUGGAUAGUUUUGUGCUUGUUGACAUGAAUAAUUCAUCCAUUCCUUCUUCCAUCCUUCCAAGCUCAUCCAUCCCUCUGUUAAUUUAUCCAUCUUCCAAUCAAGCCAUCUAUCCAUCCAUCCAUCCAUCCAUCCAUCCAUCCAUCCAUCACCAUGAUCAUCUAGGUGAGUACUUGCUCUGGGCCAGACGUUGUGUCAGUUGCUAAGAUACAGUGAUAAACAGUUCAUCAUCCCUGCCCUGAAAGUGUUCCCAGUCUGGUGACCAGAUAUUCAAAUAAACACCGGCAUCUCCUCAGCAA